AACCAGAAGACCACCCAUAGAAUGACUUAUAAUGUUUAUCUUCUUGCCUCCUGACGCAGUAUGUAUGGAUUCUAGCUUUUGCGCAAAACACUCCAUUGUUUCCUGAAGCCUGUUGCUCUGCCGGAAAUCAUAGCCAAAUCCAAAUAGUGUUUUUCCUUCUUGGUAACCCCAGCUGAGCAUCUCAACUAUCAUAUCAUGGUAAUAAUAUACACAAUCAGACCCAAUAAUCAUGUCAGGAUCCAAAUUAUCAAUAGCAUACAGUCCAUAUCUGUCCUCCGGGACCUCAAUGCUUGUGUCAGGGUCUAAAUUGGUAGUUUUACCGGUAGAAGGGUCAAAACGACACCAUAACUUAUCACAAAACUCAUGAUCGGCACCAAGUAUUCGGACCCAAACCCGUUCGGUCCGACCUGUUUUCUUAUCAACAGCGUUGAGAAUCGACCCGGCAACACCCGGAACUAAUAGAACUGGAUCAAGUGUCGGGUCAAUGUACUCCUGAGGCUUCUUGAUCAGCUUCAGCCACAUCUCUAUUGACUUAAUCAGCUCCUCUAUUAACAUCGCCAUUCCCCUAACGUCAAAUUGCAGAUUACAGAAAUUGGAGAAGAAAUUCAAGCAAAGGGUAAAUUUAGAGUUCAAUUCAAUGAAAUUGAAUGAGAAAUAGAGUGAAUUUUAGGGGUUUUUUCUGGAUAAGGCGGAGGAAGGCGGCGAUCGAUGGCGGAGAAGAGCCGUGGAGUUGACGGAAAGUGAA
Molecule: unclassified non-coding RNA, 745 nt
Filed under: Hevea brasiliensis (rubber tree)
Lineage: Eukaryota; Viridiplantae; Streptophyta; Magnoliopsida; Malpighiales; Euphorbiaceae
Source: RNAcentral